UCUGGUAUUGAUUGGUGCUUGCAUCAUGAUUUACAUUUGAGUGAGUGGCGAACUGGUGAGUAACACGUGGGAAACCUGCCCAGAAGCGGGGGAUAACACCUGGAAACAGAUGCUAAUACCGCAUAACAACUUGGACCGCAUGGUCCGAGUUUGAAAGAUGGCUUCGGCUAUCACUUUUGGAUGGUCCCGCGGCGUAUUAGCUAGAUGGUGGGGUAACGGCUCACCAUGGCAAUGAUACGUAGCCGACCUGAGAGGGUAAUCGGCCACAUUGGGACUGAGACACGGCCCAAACUCCUACGGGAGGCAGCAGUAGGGAAUCUUCCACAAUGGACGAAAGUCUGAUGGAGCAACGCCGCGUGAGUGAAGAAGGGUUUCGGCUCGUAAAACUCUGUUGUUAAAGAAGAACAUAUCUGAGAGUAACUGUUCAGGUAUUGACGGUAUUUAACCAGAAAGCCACGGCUAACUACGUGCCAGCAGCCGCGGUAAUACGUAGGUGGCAAGCGUUGUCCGGAUUUAUUGGGCGUAAAGCGAGCGCAGGCGGUUUUUUAAGUCUGAUGUGAAAGCCUUCGGCUCAACCGAAGAAGUGCAUCGGAAACUGGGAAACUUGAGUGCAGAAGAGGACAGUGGAACUCCAUGUGUAGCGGUGAAAUGCGUAGAUAUAUGGAAGAACACCAGUGGCGAAGGCGGCUGUCUGGUCUGUAACUGACGCUGAGGCUCGAAAGUAUGGGUAGCAAACAGGAUUAGAUACCCUGGUAGUCCAUACCGUAAACGAUGAAUGCUAAGUGUUGGAGGGUUUCCGCCCUUCAGUGCUGCAGCUAACGCAUUAAGCAUUCCGCCUGGGGAGUACGGCCGCAAGGCUGAAACUCAAAGGAAUUGACGGGGGCCCGCACAAGCGGUGGAGCAUGUGGUUUAAUUCGAAGCUACGCGAAGAACCUUACCAGGUCUUGACAUACUAUGCAAAUCUAAGAGAUUAGACGUUCCCUUCGGGGACAUGGAUACAGGUGGUGCAUGGUUGUCGUCAGCUCGUGUCGUGAGAUGUUGGGUUAAGUCCCGCAACGAGCGCAACCCUUAUUAUCAGUUGCCAGCAUUAAGUUGGGCACUCUGGUGAGACUGCCGGUGACAAACCGGAGGAAGGUGGGGAUGACGUCAAAUCAUCAUGCCCCUUAUGACCUGGGCUACACACGUGCUACAAUGGAUGGUACAACGAGUUGCGAACUCGCGAGAGUAAGCUAAUCUCUUAAAGCCAUUCUCAGUUCGGAUUGUAGGCUGCAACUCGCCUACAUGAAGUCGGAAUCGCUAGUAAUCGCGGAUCAGCAUGCCGCGGUGAAUACGUUCCCGGGCCUUGUACACACCGCCCGUCACACCAUGAGAGUUUGUAACACCCAAAGUCGGUGG
This 1395-nucleotide ribosomal RNA is filed under the name Lactiplantibacillus plantarum. Its description in RNAcentral is "bacterial SSU rRNA". It matches the Rfam family "Bacterial small subunit ribosomal RNA", at positions 62 to 1433 of the family's 1533-position model. Lineage: Bacteria; Bacillati; Bacillota; Bacilli; Lactobacillales; Lactobacillaceae. The record is from RNAcentral.